This 490-nucleotide long non-coding RNA is filed under the name Panax ginseng (ginseng). RNAcentral's name for it is "long non-coding RNA (PGIN_LNC012535)". The record is from RNAcentral. Lineage: Eukaryota; Viridiplantae; Streptophyta; Magnoliopsida; Apiales; Araliaceae.
AAGACGUACACUUGCUCUUCUGCCUCAUACUCGUCGUCUUCUCCCUCAGCUUCAUAAACAUUCUCAUAUUCCUCGUUAUUUUCCCGUUCCUCAUCAUGGUUGACGGUGUUCACGGCACGUCUCCGACAAUCUGCUAAUGUAUGUCCCGAUCCGCCGCACUUAUUACACUUAUCCCCAUAAUUUUUGGCAUAUGGGUUAGGUGUUUUAUCUUGCCCCGCCGGUUGUUUUCCUUGGGCCUUUUCUACCACAGCUCGAUCACCACGUAGAAACUGUCGUCAUUGAGGAUUUGGAACACAGGAUUCUGUCGAUUGUUCCGCCCACGAUUCUUAUCCCCAAAAUUUUGACCUCCCUCUGGAUAAAUUCUACGAACAGCCUCAAAAAGGGGUUUCUCCUGUUGUAUAAGUUCAUCCUUCAAGGCCAAAUUCCUUGCUUCCUCAACACUAAGCACUGUUUGUACUCUAAUUUUCUCUUUAAUUCCCUGUCUCAGGCC